CAAUAGCGUAUAUUAAAGUUGUUGCGGUAAAAAAGCUCGUAGUUGGAUUUCUACCGAAGAUAGCCGGUCGGGUCUUCGACCUUGUAUCUGGUUUUGUCUUUGGUAUCCUCAUAGGGAACGUUUCUGCGCUUUAUUGCGUGGUGCGGUAUCUAUGACUUUUACUUUGAGGAAAUUAGAGUGUUCACGGCAGGCAAACGCCUUGAAUAUAUUAGCAUGGAAUAAUAACAUAGGAUAUUCGUCCUAUUUUGUUGGUUUCUAGGGCUAAGAUAAUGAUUAAUAGGGAUAAUUGGGGGCAUCUGUAUCAACGCGUCAGAGGUGGAAUUCUUGGAUUGCGUUGCGACAAACUACUGCGAAAGCAUUUGCCAAGGAUGUUUUCAUUGA
RNAcentral lists this ribosomal RNA (381 nucleotides) under uncultured eukaryote. RNAcentral's name for it is "partial 18S ribosomal RNA". It matches the Rfam family "Eukaryotic small subunit ribosomal RNA", at positions 592 to 976 of the family's 1831-position model. The record is from RNAcentral.